CACCACUCAAGCCUCGCUUGGUAUUGGGCGCCGCGCCUGCCGCGCGCCUUAAUGUCUCCGGCUGAGCUCAUCGUCUCUUAGCGUUGUGGCAAACAAUGUUCGCUUGUGAGACUGACGGGUUUGCGCCGUUAAAACAUCCUUCUAAAA
Molecule: unclassified non-coding RNA, 147 nt
Filed under: uncultured Capnodiales
Lineage: Eukaryota; Fungi; Ascomycota; Dothideomycetes; Capnodiales
Description: sequence contains ITS2
Source: RNAcentral